GAUGAACGCUGGCGGCGUGCCUAAUACAUGCAAGUCGAGCAAACGGACGAGAAGCUUGCUUCUCUGAUGUUAGCGGCGGACGGGUGAGUAACACGUGGAUAACCUACCUAUAAGACUGGGAUAACUUCGGGAAACCGGAGCUAAUACCGGAUAAUAUUUUGAACCGCAUGGUUCAAAAGUGAAAGACGGUCUUGCUGUCACUUAUAGAUGGAUCCGCGCUGCAUUAGCUAGUUGGUAAGGUAACGGCUUACCAAGGCAACGAUGCAUAGCCGACCUGAGAGGGUGAUCGGCCACACUGGAACUGAGACACGGUCCAGACUCCUACGGGAGGCAGCAGUAGGGAAUCUUCCGCAAUGGGCGAAAGCCUGACGGAGCAACGCCGCGUGAGUGAUGAAGGUCUUCGGAUCGUAAAACUCUGUUAUUAGGGAAGAACAAAUGUGUAAGUAACUGUGCACAUCUUGACGGUACCUAAUCAGAAAGCCACGGCUAACUACGUG
Molecule: ribosomal RNA, 497 nt
Filed under: uncultured bacterium
Lineage: Bacteria
Description: partial 16S ribosomal RNA
Rfam family: Bacterial small subunit ribosomal RNA
Source: RNAcentral